Molecule: ribosomal RNA, 467 nt
Filed under: uncultured bacterium
Lineage: Bacteria
Description: bacterial SSU rRNA
Rfam family: Bacterial small subunit ribosomal RNA
Source: RNAcentral
CGGACGAACGCUGGCGGCGUGCUUAAAACAUGCAAGUCGAACGGACUUCUCAUGAAGCUUGCGAUUGAGAAGUUAGUGGCGGACGGGUGAGUAACGCGUGGGCAACCUGCCCCUGAGCCCGGGAUAACAGUUCGAAAGGACUGCUAAGACCGGAUAUACUUGCGGGGAAGCAUUUCACUGCAAGGAAAGGGAACGCUCAGGGAUGGGCCCGCGUCCCAUUAGCUAGUUGGUGAGGUAACGGCCCACCAAGGCGACGAUGGGUAGCCGGCCUGAGAGGGUGAACGGCCACACUGGGACUGAGACACGGCCCAGACUCCUACGGGAGGCAGCAGUUGGGAAUCUUCGGCAAUGGGCGCAAGCCUGACCGAGCAACGCCGCGUGAGUGAUGAAGGUUUUCGGAUUGUAAAGCUCUGUCUUCCGGGACGAUAAUGACGGUACCGGAGGAGGAAGCCACGGCUAACUACGUG